This 328-nucleotide unclassified non-coding RNA is filed under the name Hyphodontia sp. RNAcentral describes it as "partial internal transcribed spacer region". The stretch from base 1 to 46 matches the Rfam family "Eukaryotic small subunit ribosomal RNA", at positions 1786 to 1831 of the family's 1831-position model. Lineage: Eukaryota; Fungi; Basidiomycota; Agaricomycetes; Hymenochaetales; Schizoporaceae. The record is from RNAcentral.
AAGUCGUAACAAGGUUUCCGUAGGUGAACCUGCGGAAGGAUCAUUAUCGAGUUCUUUGAAGUAAGGCCUUUGAUUAAAUUGAUGCUGGCGGUCCAUUCGCACGUGCUCAUUUGUUGAAGUGUCCUUACGCUCAAAUCCACUCAACCACUGUGCACUUAAUUCGAAGCUUUUUGUGAGUCCUCCGCUUGCGGAGCAGCUCCCUUUCUUUACUGAGGGGUUGAGCCGGGGCUGGCAAUAAGGCUUUCGACUUUAUAAACUACUUUAUUGUCAUGUAGAACGUUAAUUACUAUUGAAAAUACAACUUUCAACAACGGAUCUCUUGGCUCUC